GAUGAAGAACGCAGCGAAAUGCGAUACUUGGUGUGAAUUGCAGAAUCCCGUGAACCAUCGAGUCUUGAACGCAAGUUGCGCCCGAAGCCAUUAGGCCGAGGGCACGCCUGCCUGGGUGUCACACGUCGUUGCCCCCCCAUCUACUCCUUCGGGAUUGCGGGGGGCGGAUGAUGGCCUCCCGUGCGCCUCGUCGCGCGGUUGGCAUAAAUGCCAAGUCCUCGGCGACGCACGCCACGACAAUCGGUGGUUGCGAAACCUCGGUUGCCCGUCGUGUGCGGUCGUCGCGCAUCGAGGGCUCGAAAAAAUUGCCGGGCUCCGGCUCGGCUUUCAACGCGACCCCAGGUCAGGCGGGGUUACCCGCUGAAUUUAAGCAUAUCAAUAAGCGGAGGA
Molecule: unclassified non-coding RNA, 390 nt
Filed under: soil metagenome
Description: partial contains 5.8S ribosomal RNA, internal transcribed spacer 2, and large subunit ribosomal RNA
Rfam family: 5.8S ribosomal RNA (bases 1-121)
Source: RNAcentral